CCUACGGGCGGCAGCAGUGAGGAAUAUUGGUCAAUGGGCGGGAGCCUGAACCAGCCAAGUCGCGUGAGGGAAGACGGUCCUAUGGAUUGUAAACCUCUUUAGGCGGGGAGCAAUGCCGGGCACGCGUGCCCGGAGGGAGAGUACCCGCAGAAUAAGCAUCGGCUAACUCCGUGCCAGCAGCCGCGGUAAUACGGAGGAUGCGAGCGUUAUCCGGAUUUAGUGGGUUUAAAGGGUGCGUAGGCGGAUUUUUAAGUCAGCGGUAAAAUGUCCGGGCUCAACCCGGGCCGGCCGUUGAAACUGGGGAUCUUGAGUGGGCGAGAAGUAUGCGGAAUGCGUGGUGUAGCGGUGAAAUGCAUAGAUAUCACGCAGAACUCCGAGUGCGAAGGCAGCAUACCGGCGCCCGACUGACGCUGAGGCACGAAAGCGUGGGGAUCGAACAGGAUUAGAUACCCCAGUAGUC
This 460-nucleotide ribosomal RNA is filed under the name uncultured bacterium. RNAcentral describes it as "partial 16S ribosomal RNA". It matches the Rfam family "Bacterial small subunit ribosomal RNA", at positions 338 to 795 of the family's 1533-position model. The record is from RNAcentral.